Heterocephalus glaber (naked mole-rat) is the source of this 703-nucleotide long non-coding RNA. RefSeq lists it as uncharacterized. The record is from RefSeq and is a predicted model, not a curated record. Lineage: Eukaryota; Metazoa; Chordata; Mammalia; Rodentia; Bathyergidae.
UCGGUGGCAGAACCUGCAGGCUAGGUGGGCGACUCUUCUCCCUGGAUCAACGGACUUGAGGACCUCAGCUCCAUCGGAGUGAGGAGGACCUUGGAGUCCCGCACUCUGGCCUUCGCCACCUUCAACAGCGCAAGACGGUGGACCCGCGGGCGCACAGGCGACCCCACGAGCAGGUGGGCACCCCUGAGCCCGGUUGCUGCGGACUGGAUGUCCCCCCUUCCAGGCCUCUGGGUGGCAGUGUAGAAGCCAAAUCGGGAGCUUCUAGCAGUGGUUUCUAAAAAAUAAGUUGAAUGUACAUGAGUAAGCAAGCACAGGAAUCUGAAAAACCACAGGUCAAGCUGUAGAACAUGUCUGGUGUGCCAGAAGAUUUCCUCCUGCCCCCCCUUCUCAUCAUUUGUCUACCUCCAAUAUGAAGGUAACCACAUUAUGAUUUAAAAAAAAAAGACUACAUCUACUAAUUUUAUCCACUUUUAAGCUCCGAUAGAUGAUAUGGUAGGAGCUCUUUGUGCAUGUCAUUUUUUAUUUAACCAAAUAUCUGUACAAUUUAUGUGAUCAUAUGGAUCAGAAGUUCUUUCUGAUCUGUUGUAGAGUAGUAAUUAUGUGGAUAUGCUACAAUUUAUUUAUCUCUUUCCCAAUUAUAUCUUUGGGUCAUUUCCAGUUUUUGGGUGUGAAUAAAACAGCUGUGAACAUUUUUGCUUAUGUC